Mytilus californianus (California mussel) is the source of this 800-nucleotide long non-coding RNA. RefSeq lists it as uncharacterized. NCBI's taxonomy places the organism in Eukaryota, Metazoa, Mollusca, Bivalvia, Mytilida, Mytilidae. The transcript is spliced from 3 exons. The record is from RefSeq and is a predicted model, not a curated record.
UUGUAGACAUUGAAACAUAAUAACAGAGGUUUAAACCGAGGGAAUAACUUUCACAGAUACAAUAUAUUUCUUCAUUAAUGAAUAUACAAAUCCUUUGUAUAUUAAAGCAACAAUGGAACGAAAAUAUAUUAUAGUAUGUGUCUUGUUUGUUCUUUUUGGUACACCUGUCCAAGGCGGAAAAAAAGAAGGAUGGACUUCAGAUGAUGUUUGGUGUGCAACAAAGAAAUAUGGAGGUGGUGUAUUGUUGGGGGCAGGUACAGUAACUGUAGUACAACAUGUACUUUGGGGAAUUGGUUUUGGCCCGGCUGGUAUAGUAGCUGGGACAAUUGCAGCUACAGCUAUGGCAUUUUCAGCUGCUGCCAAUGGUGGAGGCGUAGUGGCCGGAGGAGUUAUUGCCACCCUUCAAUCUGCAGGAGCUGCUGGGUUAAGCAUAGGUUCAAAGGCUAUUAUCGGCGUCGCAUCAGGUGGGAUAUACAGCUAUUUAGUUGGAGACUGCUCGGAAAAUGACAUUGAAUGUAAAGAGAAAGAAAAAUGAUGUCCAAUGUCUUAAAUAUAAUGCUUUCAUUGAACCGAUGCUUUGAUAAAUUUAUUUUUAAAUCUCUCAAACACCUUUUUGUAAUUUGAAAAAAAAACUAUUGCCAACACUAGAAUUAGAAUAUUAUUUGUUGAUUUAUUGAACUUCAAAUAUACUAUCGUAAUACAUCAUUAUACUUACCGAUGAUUUUAUGUUUCUUACGAGUAUUCCUAUUUUAUAUUUGUAUAUAAAAGUCGUAUGUAAACAGUGAUAUACAUAUAUAUUC